UGGACAUUCAUUUCAGGACUGAUCAGAAAAGCGCAGCAGACAUUGGUCUGGUGUCCUGCUGCCAAGAUGAAUCGGGUGUUUGGUGUGGUCCUUACAGCUGUCCUACUGGCCUUUCAAAUUUCAACUCAGAUGGUCUGGGCACAAGAUGAUCCAAAUAUGCUUACUGCCAGCAGUAUUGCCCCACCUACUGAUGGGACGGACUUAAUCAGUGUUGCCCCAACUGUUGGCAGCUCGGUCUCUGACAGUGUUGCCCCAACUAUAGGCAGUACUGCAUCUGUAACCAAUUCCACCUUCAACCCUACCUCUGGAAGUACUCCUGGGAAGACUGCAGACAAUCCUUUGCUGCUCCUCGCUCUGCUCUUGGUGGUUCCUGUUUAUGCUUUGUGCCAGUGAAGUGGCUGGACUCUUGCCAUCAGUUUAAGCUGCAGCUCUUCAAAGCUGGACAAUCUUGAUCACACUUGGAUUUCCACUUUCUAUCUUGUGUUGGGUUUUCAGUGUAUACACCAAACCAGUCCCUUUCUAAUGUCCUGGUUCAGCUUGUAUCAUGGCAGUUAUGAGGGAGGGAGGUGAUAUUUGAAAUUGUACUGGCUACAAGAUUUAACUGAAUCUUUGGAAGCUUUGUUGUGAAAUACUUCAUUUAAUAAACUUUGUAUAUUUAUAAGUU
Long non-coding RNA from Poecilia reticulata (guppy), 664 nucleotides. RefSeq lists it as uncharacterized. Lineage: Eukaryota; Metazoa; Chordata; Actinopteri; Cyprinodontiformes; Poeciliidae. The record is from RefSeq and is a predicted model, not a curated record.